GGCGUUGGCCGCCGGACAAUCGACCUUCGGUCUAUUACUUCCAAGGUUGACCUCGGAUCAGGUAGGGAUACCCGCUGAACUUAAGCAUAUCA
This 92-nucleotide ribosomal RNA is filed under the name Phyllosticta sp. SPW-2019a. Its description in RNAcentral is "partial 28S ribosomal RNA". Lineage: Eukaryota; Fungi; Ascomycota; Dothideomycetes; Botryosphaeriales; Phyllostictaceae. The record is from RNAcentral.